GCGCGAAAACUUUGCAAUGCGGGAAACCGUGACAAGGGAACUCUGAGUGCCCGUUAAAUCGGGCUGUCCAUCGGUUUAAAUAACCGGUGAAGAAAGGGCCGGGCAAGACCGGUGCCAGCCGCCGCGGUAAUACCGGCGGCUCGAGUGGUGGCCACUAUUACUGGGCUUAAAGCGUUCGUAGCUGGUUUGUUAAGUCUCUGGGGAAAUCUUCCGGCUUAACCGGAAGGCGUUUCAGGGAUACUGGCAGACUAGGGACCGGGAGAGGUGAGAGGUACUCCAGGGGUAGGAGUGAAAUCCUGUAAUCCUUGGGGGACCACCUGUGGCGAAGGCGUCUCACCAGAACGGCUCCGACAGUGAGGGACGAAAGCUGGGGGAGCAAACCGG
Molecule: ribosomal RNA, 384 nt
Filed under: uncultured bacterium
Lineage: Bacteria
Description: bacterial SSU rRNA
Rfam family: Archaeal small subunit ribosomal RNA
Source: RNAcentral